GUCUUUGACGUCACAUCCGGAAAGCAAAAAAAUUGAUGGGUCAUGUUUCCGCUUCCCUCUGGUUUGCAGCGCGCUGACGUCGCAGGGGAACUGUGCCGACAUCCACCUCGGUUUGCACGCAGCGCGAUGGACUUCAUGAUGGCAGAGCAGGAACAGGAGAAACAGAUGACUCCAAGACAUGAGGCUCUGCGGACAAAUAAGGAAAUCAGACACUCGUGAUGAAGUCAUGGCUUCUGUAGGUCUUUUGGAACAGCUCAUAGACUUCCCUUUUCUAUUUUUAUGUCAAGCAGUUCAUGUAGACAGACUCUUCUAGUAAAGCAAAGUGUCAGAACUCUGAUCAGUCCUCCCAAAUU
Molecule: long non-coding RNA, 353 nt
Organism: Oryzias melastigma (Indian medaka)
Lineage: Eukaryota; Metazoa; Chordata; Actinopteri; Beloniformes; Adrianichthyidae
Exons: 2
Source: RefSeq, a predicted model, not a curated record